RNAcentral lists this transfer RNA (71 nucleotides) under Patescibacteria group bacterium. RNAcentral describes it as "tRNA-Pro". It matches the Rfam family "tRNA". Rfam says of the family: Transfer RNA (tRNA) molecules are approximately 80 nucleotides in length. The record is from RNAcentral.
CGGAGAGUAGUUUAGUGGUAGAAUGAGCGGCUGGGGGCCGUUCGGCCCGAGUUCGAUUCUCGGCUCUCCGA